This 513-nucleotide ribosomal RNA is filed under the name Streptomyces sp. 310F04. Its description in RNAcentral is "bacterial SSU rRNA". It matches the Rfam family "Bacterial small subunit ribosomal RNA", at positions 93 to 620 of the family's 1533-position model. Lineage: Bacteria; Bacillati; Actinomycetota; Actinomycetes; Kitasatosporales; Streptomycetaceae. The record is from RNAcentral.
UAGUGGCGAACGGGUGAGUAACACGUGGGCAAUCUGCCCUUCACUCUGGGACAAGCCCUGGAAACGGGGUCUAAUACCGGAUAACACUCUGUCCCGCAUGGGACGGGGUUGAAAGCUCCGGCGGUGAAGGAUGAGCCCGCGGCCUAUCAGCUUGUUGGUGGGGUGAUGGCCUACCAAGGCGACGACGGGUAGCCGGCCUGAGAGGGCGACCGGCCACACUGGGACUGAGACACGGCCCAGACUCCUACGGGAGGCAGCAGUGGGGAAUAUUGCACAAUGGGCGAAAGCCUGAUGCAGCGACGCCGCGUGAGGGAUGACGGCCUUCGGGUUGUAAACCUCUUUCAGCAGGGAAGAAGCGAGAGUGACGGUACCUGCAGAAGAAGCGCCGGCUAACUACGUGCCAGCAGCCGCGGUAAUACGUAGGGCGCAAGCGUUGUCCGGAAUUAUUGGGCGUAAAGAGCUCGUAGGCGGCUUGUUGCGUCGGUUGUGAAAGCCCGGGGCUUAACCCCGGGU